UUGACAGAAGAGAGUGAGCACACGGCGUGAUGCCGGCAUAACAUGUAUGCCGUCUUCGCCGCGUGCUCACUCCUCUUUCUGUCAG
Non-coding RNA from Triticum urartu, 85 nucleotides. The record is from Rfam. Lineage: Eukaryota; Viridiplantae; Streptophyta; Magnoliopsida; Poales; Poaceae.